RNAcentral lists this ribosomal RNA (1554 nucleotides) under Salmonella enterica. RNAcentral describes it as "bacterial SSU rRNA". It matches the Rfam family "Bacterial small subunit ribosomal RNA". RNAcentral also lists the same sequence under 1 other name. Lineage: Bacteria; Pseudomonadati; Pseudomonadota; Gammaproteobacteria; Enterobacterales; Enterobacteriaceae. The record is from RNAcentral.
UUAAAUUGAAGAGUUUGAUCAUGGCUCAGAUUGAACGCUGGCGGCAGGCCUAACACAUGCAAGUCGAACGGUAACAGGAAGCAGCUUGCUGCUUUGCUGACGAGUGGCGGACGGGUGAGUAAUGUCUGGGAAACUGCCUGAUGGAGGGGGAUAACUACUGGAAACGGUGGCUAAUACCGCAUAACGUCGCAAGACCAAAGAGGGGGACCUUCGGGCCUCUUGCCAUCAGAUGUGCCCAGAUGGGAUUAGCUAGUUGGUGAGGUAACGGCUCACCAAGGCGACGAUCCCUAGCUGGUCUGAGAGGAUGACCAGCCACACUGGAACUGAGACACGGUCCAGACUCCUACGGGAGGCAGCAGUGGGGAAUAUUGCACAAUGGGCGCAAGCCUGAUGCAGCCAUGCCGCGUGUAUGAAGAAGGCCUUCGGGUUGUAAAGUACUUUCAGCGGGGAGGAAGGUGUUGUGGUUAAUAACCGCAGCAAUUGACGUUACCCGCAGAAGAAGCACCGGCUAACUCCGUGCCAGCAGCCGCGGUAAUACGGAGGGUGCAAGCGUUAAUCGGAAUUACUGGGCGUAAAGCGCACGCAGGCGGUCUGUCAAGUCGGAUGUGAAAUCCCCGGGCUCAACCUGGGAACUGCAUUCGAAACUGGCAGGCUUGAGUCUUGUAGAGGGGGGUAGAAUUCCAGGUGUAGCGGUGAAAUGCGUAGAGAUCUGGAGGAAUACCGGUGGCGAAGGCGGCCCCCUGGACAAAGACUGACGCUCAGGUGCGAAAGCGUGGGGAGCAAACAGGAUUAGAUACCCUGGUAGUCCACGCCGUAAACGAUGUCUACUUGGAGGUUGUGCCCUUGAGGCGUGGCUUCCGGAGCUAACGCGUUAAGUAGACCGCCUGGGGAGUACGGCCGCAAGGUUAAAACUCAAAUGAAUUGACGGGGGCCCGCACAAGCGGUGGAGCAUGUGGUUUAAUUCGAUGCAACGCGAAGAACCUUACCUGGUCUUGACAUCCACAGAACUUUCCAGAGAUGGACUGGUGCCUUCGGGAACUGUGAGACAGGUGCUGCAUGGCUGUCGUCAGCUCGUGUUGUGAAAUGUUGGGUUAAGUCCCGCAACGAGCGCAACCCUUAUCCUUUGUUGCCAGCGGUUAGGCCGGGAACUCAAAGGAGACUGCCAGUGAUAAACUGGAGGAAGGUGGGGAUGACGUCAAGUCAUCAUGGCCCUUACGACCAGGGCUACACACGUGCUACAAUGGCGCAUACAAAGAGAAGCGACCUCGCGAGAGCAAGCGGACCUCAUAAAGUGCGUCGUAGUCCGGAUUGGAGUCUGCAACUCGACUCCAUGAAGUCGGAAUCGCUAGUAAUCGUGGAUCAGAAUGCCACGGUGAAUACGUUCCCGGGCCUUGUACACACCGCCCGUCACACCAUGGGAGUGGGUUGCAAAAGAAGUAGGUAGCUUAACCUUCGGGAGGGCGCUUACCACUUUGUGAUUCAUGACUGGGGUGAAGUCGUAACAAGGUAACCGUAGGGGAACCUGCGGUUGGAUCACCUCCUUACCUUAAAGAA